AGCAGCCGCGGUAAUUCCAGCUCCAAUAGCGUAUAUUAAAGUUGUUGCAGUUAAAAAGCUCGUAGUUGAAUUUCGGGAUCAGUACGCUGGUCGUGCCUUUGGUAUGUACUGGUGUCACUGAUUCCUCCCUUCUGAAGAACCGUUAUGCCAUUUAUUUGGUGUGGCGGGAAAUCAGGACUGUUACUUUGAAAAAAUUAGAGUGUUUAAAGCAGGCUCGCGCUUGAAUACAUUAGCAUGGAAUAAUGAAAUAGGACGUUUGAUCUUAUUUUGUUGGUUUCUAGGAUCGACGUAAUGAUUAAUAGGGAUAGUUGGGGGCAUUAGUAUUCAAUUGUCAGAGGUGAAAUUCUUGGAUUUAUUGAAGACUAACUACUGCGAAAGCAUUUGCCAAGGAUGUUUUCAUUAAUCAAGAACGAAAGUUAGGGGAUCGAAGACGAUCAGAUACCGUCGUAGUCUUAACC
Molecule: ribosomal RNA, 458 nt
Filed under: uncultured Glomus
Lineage: Eukaryota; Fungi; Glomeromycota; Glomeromycetes; Glomerales; Glomeraceae
Description: SSU rRNA
Rfam family: Eukaryotic small subunit ribosomal RNA
Source: RNAcentral